GAGAGACGGCUUCUCAUCAUGGCGGACCCUAGAGAUAAGGCGCUUCAGGACUACCGCAAGAAGCUGCUUGAGCACAAGGAGAUCGACGGCCGUCUUAAGGAGUUAAGGGAACAAUUAAAAGAACUUACCAAGCAGUAUGAAAAGUCUGAAAAUGAUCUGAAGGCCCUACAAAGUGUUGGGCAGAUUGUGGGUGAAGUGCUUAAACAGUUAACUGAAGAAAAAUUCAUUGUUAAAGCUACCAAUGGACCAAGAUAUGUUGUGGGUUGUCGUCGACAGGGCUCUGUGGAUGCCGAAAGUUGGCAUUUCUAAGAUAUUUCAGGUUGCAUGGGGACAAGACUGUAUUUGAAAACUAAAAAACAUUAGAAAAGCCAAAGUAUAUAUAAGUUGAGUAUCCCUUAUCCAAAAUACUUGAGCCAGAAAUGUGUUUUAGAUUUUGGCUUUUUUUUUUUCAGGUUUUAGAAUAUUUGCGUUGUACUGGUUGAGCAUCCCUAAUUAAAAAAAUCAAAAAUUUGAAAUGCUCCGAUGAGCAUUUUCUUUGAGCAUCAUGUCAGCAUUCAAAAAAUUUCACAUUGUGGAGCAUUUUGGAUUUUCAGAUUAAGAAUACUCAGCCUGUAUUCCCUAUAGAUGUAAACAUUGAAAUAGCUUCAUAUUGAUUUAUCGUCUUAUUUUUUCAAGUAACCUCACUUCUUAGCUGUUUUUUCCUUAAUUGUUAUAUUAAUCCUAGUGUUUUGCCUAUCUUCCUAAAUUUGAAGCUCUUUGUAAAAUCCUGUGACAAGUGGUCAGUAAUUUAUAUGAUUCCGAAAUUGUAUUGGCACACAGUUUUUUAAACUAUUAAAAAGUAACUUGGGUCUGGCGGGGUGGCUCAUGCCUGUAAUCUCAGCACUUUGGGAGGCUGAGGUGGGCAGAUCACGAGGUCAGGAGUUCGAGACCAGCCUGACCAACAUGGUGAAACCCCAUCUUUACUAAAAAAUACAAAAAAAAAUUAGCCGGGCAUGGUGGCGCACACCUGUAAUGCCAGCUACUCGAGGCUGAGGCA
RNAcentral lists this small RNA (1036 nucleotides) under Pongo abelii (Sumatran orangutan). RNAcentral's name for it is "processed transcript". The record is from RNAcentral. Lineage: Eukaryota; Metazoa; Chordata; Mammalia; Primates; Hominidae.